GAUGAACGCUGGCGGCGUGCCUAAUACAUGCAAGUCGAGCGAACAGACGAGGAGCUUGCUCCUCUGACGUUAGCGGCGGACGGGUGAGUAACACGUGGAUAACCUACCUAUAAGACUGGGAUAACUUCGGGACACCGGAGCUAAUACCGGAUAAUAUCUUGAACCGCAUGGUUCAAUAGUGAAAGACGGUUUUGCUGUCACUUAUAGAUGGAUCCGCGCCGCAUUAGCUAGUUGGUAAGGUAACGGCUUACCAAGGCAACGAUGCGUAGCCGACCUGAGAGGGGGAUCGGCCACACUGGAACUGAGACACGGUCCAGACGCCUACGGGAGGCAGCAGUAGGGAAUCUUCCGCAAUGGGCGAAAGCCUGACGGAGCAACGCCGCGUGAGUGAUGAAGGUCUUCGGAUCGUAAAACUCUGUUAUUAGGGAAGAACAAAUGUGUAAGUAACUAUGCACGUCUUGACGGUACCUAAUCAGAAAGCCACGGCUAACUACGUG
This 497-nucleotide ribosomal RNA is filed under the name uncultured bacterium. RNAcentral describes it as "partial 16S ribosomal RNA". It matches the Rfam family "Bacterial small subunit ribosomal RNA", at positions 28 to 507 of the family's 1533-position model. The record is from RNAcentral.